This is a long non-coding RNA of Alosa sapidissima (American shad), 342 nucleotides long. RefSeq lists it as uncharacterized. The record is from RefSeq and is a predicted model, not a curated record. The transcript is spliced from 3 exons. NCBI's taxonomy places the organism in Eukaryota, Metazoa, Chordata, Actinopteri, Clupeiformes, Clupeidae.
GAACAGCAGAUCUGGUGACCAUCGAAAGUGAAGAGGAACGAGUUUACAUUAAUGGGCUGGCGAGAUUUGGUUGGAUUGGACUACAAAGACAUACGGUCUGGACGUGGGUGAAUGGUAGAGCACUCUCCAGAGGGCCCGUGUUCUGGGAACCUGGACAGCCCAACAGCAACACAGAGAAUUGUGUUCUGUCCAGCCCAAACGUGGAGGACCCCACCUCCAACUGGCAUGACUAUCCAUGCUCCUCUACGUUUUACCCCAUUUGUGAAAAAUCAGCUAACUAAUUCAGGAAGAAAUUACUGUCCCACAUUCUAAGGCAAGAUAAUGAAUGUUGAUUUAAAAGAC